This 24-nucleotide non-coding RNA is filed under the name Drosophila melanogaster (fruit fly). RNAcentral also lists the same sequence under 3 other names. The record is from RNAcentral. Lineage: Eukaryota; Metazoa; Arthropoda; Insecta; Diptera; Drosophilidae.
AAAAAAAAAAAAAAAAAAAAAAAA